AUAACUGUUUAUCAUAGCAGAUGACUUAAUGGAAAAUGAAGUCAUGUCAAGAAAGUCUUUGGCGCUUAGACUCAACAGGGAGUAAUUUUUAAUCGAGGGGCAUCAGCCCUGAGCAGCAGUAUAAUAAAUACCCCCAUGGAGUCCAGAUACUGGUGGUGGUAGCUGAUGACUUCUGCUGACAUUGACUGACCGUACGGCAGGCCACAGCUCAAUGAAAGGCGUCAAUUCCUUCGUUGAACCUUUUGUGUAAGAGGCAAGAGACGUCUGCAGAAACUGGGCUGCAAAACUUCC
Long non-coding RNA from Lampris incognitus (smalleye Pacific opah), 291 nucleotides. RefSeq lists it as uncharacterized. The transcript is spliced from 3 exons. Lineage: Eukaryota; Metazoa; Chordata; Actinopteri; Lampriformes; Lampridae. The record is from RefSeq and is a predicted model, not a curated record.